UGGGGGCUUAUUUGGCCUCCCCAGGAUGGACUGGAGCAUCAGUAGUGCCCGGGUUUAUCACAGGACAGAUACUCAAGACACUCUUAUCACCAUUAGGUGGACUUGGAGGAGCAAAAAACAAGUGCAGUGGCUCCUCAGCAGAGACACUCCUGAAUGUAUAGACAUGGGAACCACCUUCAGCAUCAAAAAAGGAAACGUUCUGCAUGCCCAUAUCCAGAAAAAUCCCCACUCGCUGUAACUUGCGGUCUACGAAGAGGAAAGUCAGCGGCACCGUGCUGGCAGAGAGGCGGCUUCCAUCCCUCAAACUCACAGUCCAGAAUCCACGCUCUGUGGUCAGAUGGAUCCUCCCUUUGCGGUGAACAGAUUCUCUGCAGACUCCCAGGUCCCAUUCUGUGCUUGUUCCCACGUCCACCUCCCAGUAGUGGCGGCCACAGGUAAAGCGAGGGGAGCCCAGGAUGCAAAUGGACACGUCAAAUCUCUCGGCAAGGUCUUGCCGAUUCUGUGUGAUGCACCCACUUCGGACGCUCCUGAGGUCGUCAGAAAUGAGGAGGAAGUUGUUGGCUGUGUCGGCAUCCAAGGUCAUAUCCACUGUGAAAAGGAAAAAAAGUUGAUCAGAAAAUGGACAGAAGCCAACCCCAUGCCUCUCCUCUACUUCAAAGGCCCAAAUAUCUCUUGACUUUGGUUUCUUUAAUUCUCUUCUUCCCCCAAAAUCAAAACUUUUCAUGAGGCAACUUCCCUGACUAGUUCAAAUUCUCAUAGGUAUGCUUUGUGGCAAUACCCAACUCUUAUUCACAGUAGCAAUUAUUUUACUUUAUGUCACGUGUUUGCUUCAUUGGACUUUUCUUCAUUUAGAGUGGAGGGUCUCUGAAGGCAGACACCAUGACCCCCUUUCUACCACCUUGAUGCAUGAAAAAAUGAAUGAUAAUUAAGACAAUGCAAAUGGUCGAUGUUAAAUAUGUUUCUGCUUCCAUCUUGUAUUGCUCAACUCAGUAUAUAGAGCAUGAUUCCAGGCCUUUGUUUUCCAUGUUUGUAAGCAAAUUAAUUGUGCAUGGUUCUGACAGCAGGUAGGGUAUCUCUGCAGCUGACAAUGUGAUGACAGAGGUGCCGGUCCUGGACAUUAGGAGGCUCCAAGGCCAGGAGGAAGAGGGGGGCCUUAGAUGAAAGAAUGUUUUCCAUCCUACAUGGGAGGUGAAACCUUAAGCAAAACAAUGGUAAAUUUUGGAGUGAAGAGAAAGGUAUUUGAAAGUUGUUUGUUGGCUGAGCGCGGUGGCUCACACCUGUAAUCCCAGCACUUUGGGAGGCCGAGACGGGUGGAUCACGAGGUCAGGAGAUCGAGACCAUCCUGGCUAACACGUGAAACCCUGUCUCUACUAAAAAACAUACAAAAAAAUUAGCCGGACAUGGUGGCGGGUGCCUGUAGUCCUAGCUACUCGGUAGACUGAGGCAGGAGAAUGGCAUGAACCCAGGAGGCGGAGCUUGCAAUGAGCAGAGAUCAUGCCACUGCACCUCCAGCCUAGGCGGCAGAGCGAGACUCCAUCUCAAAAAAUAAAAAAAAAAAGAAAGUUGUUCGUCAUAACUGACUGAUCGUAGAGAAUAAGGGCAGUAAAUACAAAGGUCAAUAAUUUAAUGCAUUGGGUAUGUGGUUGAUAGGUGAAGCUGCCAAUUCUCAUGGAGGAGGCAGUGUGAUCUGGCCUAAAGAAAAUUAAUUGUCCAGAGCAUUCUGAAAAAAAAAUCUACAGAACAUAUGAUCCUUCAAGUCAAAAAACUGAUGAUCACCAAUAUAGAUUUUAUAGAUUACAGUAAGACUUGAGGAGACUGAUUGCUGUUUGAUGGUGAAUUAGGGAAUGAAAUGAGAUGAGUGGACAUGGACAAGGAAGGAGGAAGAGGGUUCCAAACAUGACUUAGGCAGGGUGAAUCUGUCCUCCAUAUUUCAGCAGAGACACAGUCAGGUAUGGGUAGGUGGAUGAGUAGAGAUCAUGGGUGUCAGGGCAGAAGCCACCACCAUUUAUAGGUGUAAUUCUUUGCCCAGGCUGACCAUAACCUCUUCAUUUAAAUGUCCCUAUUCCCCAGAGUUAUGGAGAGUGAUAGUAUUUUCUGUAGCCAGGACCCCUGUUGAAGUCCAUGGCACACCGAUGAGGAGACCAGCGUCUGCAACUCGCCCCACUCACAGAAACAAACACCAUAGGUGCUCCAUUCCAAACUCUUCCCAACCCUGGGGUGAGGUUGUUUGGUACAGUGGGUGCCAAUACUCACUGUGCAUUAGAAUUACCAGGCCCAUUUAAAUGUCAGAGUCCUGGGAACCUUUGCUAGAGAGAAAUUCAAAUUAAGUUGCUCUGUGUUUUUGCUACUCAGCAAAGUCCCCAAGCCAGCGGGAUCAAUCCUGAGACUUCCCAGUUCAGCAUCUGCAUUUUAACAAGAUCCCCAGGUAAUCUGAGCACACUAAGUUUAGAGAAUCCCUUGUCUAACCCAUGACAUAGACAUCAGGUUUUUUUUUUUGAGACGGAGUCUCACUCUGUCACCCAGGCUGGAGUGCAGUGGUGCAAUCUUGGCUCACUGCAAGCUCCGCCCCCCCCAGGUUAACGCCAUUCUCCUGCCUCAACCCCCAAGUAGCUGGGACUACAGGCACCCACCACCAAGCCUGGCUAAUUUUUUGUAUUUUUAGUAGAGACAGGGUUUCACCGUGUUAUCCAGGAUGGUCCCGAUCUCCUGACCUCGUGAUCCACCCGCCUCGGCCUCCCAAAGUGCUGACAUUACAGGCAUGAGCCACCAUGCCCAGCCAGCCUUUUUUUUGGAGAUCACCAGGUGAUUCUGUAUGUUGUCAGGGCUGAGAAUCUGAUGAUGAAGAAGCAUCUCAAUUUUAGGUGCCAGACAGCAGCUAAUCCCCAUAUGGAAUGAGGGGCCAGUUGCACAGAUGAUUUUUCCUGGUCUGGUCGUAGGAAGGGGGCAGUGUAUACAGAUCCCUCACCUUGGAACUUCCGCAUCCUUGGGUUCAUCUGCAGAAUCUUCUUCAGCUUGGGCUCCAGUUCCUUGAUGUGGGAAGCCAGCCUCUCUAGCUGCCAACUGGGCCUGAUUUUGUUCUUCUGAGAGACCAUGGAACAGCAACAGCAAAGUAGAUCCUCCCCAUGGGGCUCCUUCUGCAGUGAAUUGAUGCACUUGAAGCAGACAGCGCAUCCACACUCCAGGGACAUUGGUUUCUCUAGAUAGUCUGAGCAGACGGGACAGCUGCUUGCUUCUUGGAAGAGUGCAGCCAUGUCCACUGCCAGGGGAAAAGUGCACAAGGGAAGAAAAUUUCCGUGAGGUGAAAGCCUGUUAGUUGUGACAAGUGACAACCUUUUCAUGCAUAAAGGUAUUGUGUCCCAGCUUUGUCACUUCUAGAACAAGACCAUGAGUACAAACACUCAAGCACAUCCCCCCACCCCCCGUCUUCAGAGAUUUGAAGUUCUAUUGGGAAAGAAAGUCACGAAUCAUCACUGUGCUCUGAACUGAGGUGGAGGAAGGGUCCAUUCUACUGGUGACCCAGCAACUGAGCCUGAGCCAGUGACACGGCAGCACCCAUGUGAGGAACAGCGAGCUGGGGUCAUUUCACCUCCUCCUAGGGGAACCCCAGCAAGAGAUUGAUUGAUGAACAUAAGAAUUAGGGGCUGGGAGGCCGGGCGUGGUGGCUCAGGCCUAUAAUCCCAGCACUUUGGGAGGCUGACGUGAGUGGAUCAUCUGAGGUCGUCAAAAGUUCGAGACCAGCCUGAUGGGUGAAACCCCAUCUCUACUGAAAAUACAAAAGAAUUAGCCAGGCGUGGUGGCACACGCCUGUAAUCCCAGAUACUUGGGAGGCUGAGGCAGGAGAAUUGCUUGAACCUGGGAGGCAAAGGUUGCAGUGAGCCAAGAUCCAGCCAUUGCACUCCGGCCUGGACAACAGAGUGAGACACCAUCUCAAAAAAAAAAAAAAAAAAAAAGAGAGGGACUGGAUGCAGUAGCUCACAUCUGUAAUCCCAGCACUUUGCGAGGCCAAGGCUGGAAGAUCCCUUGAGCCAAGGAGUUUGAGAUCAGCCUGGGCAACACAGGAAGACCCCCUCUCUACAAAUAAUAGAAAAAUUAGCAGUGAGCAGAGAUCACACCAGGUCACUCCAACCUGGACAACAGAGUUAAGACCCUGUCUCACCAAAAAAAAAAAAAAAAAAAUCACAUCCUUCUCCAGCCUUGGAAAUGAAUACCAAAUUGACUGCCACCACUCCUAGACUGGAGAUCUGGGGAUCCAGGGUGACUGGUUUUCAACUCUGAGGCAGCACUCAGACAGCCUUUGUUGAAUUCAUUAAUUACGAAUUUCUCUCAUUCAUCCCCCAAGGCAUAACCCCCAUUUCUAGGCAUCUAAGGAGGAAAAACACACACACAGGCAUGGGCUCACCUCUUCUGCUGGAAGCUCCUCUGUCCUCCAGCUGCUUCCACUGGGCGCUCAGGUCUUGUGCGGAAGGGGCACAUGAGGGCGUUUUAUUGGUGAGAUUCCCACCUCCCACUGGGUCAUGCCCUUCCACACCCUCUAACCUAAUGAGGCUUUGAUUUAAUUAUAACAGGGAAUUAGGUUUUUACUGGUGAUAUAUCUCCAGUUAAUUGUAACUUUAGUAAAUCCUUCAUCCUGACAGUGUAUUUUUCUUUCAUAUGAAGAUAAGAUUAAAUUGCCUUUAUAUUAAAUUAGGCUUAAUGUACUAACUUCAAAAGCUUAUUUUAGAGAUGUUUCCAUCAGUUGUCAGUAAAGAUAAUUCCUGUAAUAUGUUGUAGGCUUCAAGCUUUGCUUGGAAACCUGAAGUAUUAAGUAUGAUUGGAUUUGCAAUUUUACAAAAUGGUUUAAAUUCAUAUACAUCAGACUCAAAGGUAAUAGGGGCAUGCAUUCCAUUGAGGAAAUUCUAGGGAAUUUUUAUUUAUUUUCAUUGGUUUAUUUCUGGUUUUGAAAAAAUUUCAUAAUUCAUAGGAAAAAAUUGGAUAAUUACUAUUUUGACAAAUGACCAUUAAGCUUCUUGGACCUUGAGUACUUCACACAGUGUUAAGAUAAAAGUCACAAUUUAAAAAAAAAAGAUGAUUUUCUUGUGAAACUUGUGUUCUCAAAUAAAAAUUGUUACCCGUG
Molecule: long non-coding RNA, 5113 nt
Filed under: Homo sapiens (human)
Lineage: Eukaryota; Metazoa; Chordata; Mammalia; Primates; Hominidae
Description: non-protein coding RFPL1S:10
Source: RNAcentral